GACGAACGCUGGCGGCGUGCUUAACACAUGCAAGUCGAACGGAAAGGCCCCGUUUUGGGUCCUCGAGUGGCGAACGGGUGAGUAACACGUGCGUAACCUACCCUUGACUUCGGGAUAACUUCAGGAAACUGGGGCGAAUACCUGCCAGGAAUCCGUGCUUCAUGGUGGGGGUUGGAAAGCUUCUGGGGGUUUGUGGGGAAUGGCGGCCUUUUAGUUUGCUUGUGGGGGAGGUGGUUACCAAGGCUUUGACGGGUAGCCGGCCCGGGGGGGGGGACGGCCACAAUGGGACUGGGGAACGGCCCAGACUCCCACGGGGGGGAGCAGGGGGGAAAAUUGCACCAUGGGGGGGAGCCCGAUGCAGCCAAGCCGCGGGGGGGAAGACGGGCUUUGGGUUGUAAAACGCUUUCAGCAGGGGCGAAGCUUGUGGUGACGGUACCUGGAGAAGAAGCACCGGCUAACUACGUG
This 465-nucleotide ribosomal RNA is filed under the name uncultured bacterium. RNAcentral's name for it is "partial 16S ribosomal RNA". It matches the Rfam family "Bacterial small subunit ribosomal RNA", at positions 28 to 507 of the family's 1533-position model. The record is from RNAcentral.